UUGGACUGAGAUACUCAGAAAUAUUGAAUUUAUUUCUGUUACUUGAUGUCCAAAGAAUAAAAAAGCUCUCUGAUGACUGCAUUACUCUGAGUUAUGAAUGCGGACAGAUACGGAGCUAACAUAU
Hyalella azteca is the source of this 124-nucleotide non-coding RNA. RefSeq annotates it as small Cajal body-specific RNA 8. The transcript has a single exon. Lineage: Eukaryota; Metazoa; Arthropoda; Malacostraca; Amphipoda; Hyalellidae. The record is from RefSeq and is a predicted model, not a curated record.